Molecule: ribosomal RNA, 467 nt
Filed under: uncultured bacterium
Lineage: Bacteria
Description: bacterial SSU rRNA
Rfam family: Bacterial small subunit ribosomal RNA
Source: RNAcentral
AGCCAGACUCCUACGGGAGGCAGCAGUGAGGAAUAUUGGUCAAUGGGCGGAAGCCUGAACCAGCCAAGUCGCGUGAGGGACUAAGGCCCUGCGGGUCGUAAACCUCUUUUGCCGGGGAGCAGUGGUCCGGACGCGUCCGGACCGGGAGAGUACCCGGAGAAAAAGCAUCGGCUAACUCCGUGCCAGCAGCCGCGGUAAUACGGAGGAUGCGAGCGUUAUCCGGAUUUAUUGGGUUUAAAGGGUGCGUAGGCGGGCUGUUAAGUCAGCGGUAAAAGCCCGGGGCUCAACCCCUUUAAGCCGUUGAAACUGGUGAUCUUGAGUGGGCGAGAAGUAUGCGGAAUGCGUGGUGUAGCGGUGAAAUGCAUAGAUAUCACGAAGAACUCCGAUUGCGAAGGCAGCAUACCGGCUCCAUACUGACGCUGAGGCACGAAAGCGUGGGGAUCGAACAGGAUUAGAUACCCGAGUAC